AGUUUAAGAACCUGAAGGACACAUUCGCAAAGAUUCGAAACCAAAUUCGAACAAGCAUGAAGAGCGGAGCCGGUGCCGCAGACGUCGCCACUAUAAAAUGGAAACACUUUCUGUCAAUGCAAGCAAUAAUGGAGCCAAUUUCAGAAGAGCCAAUGUGAGUGGAGCAAUUUUCCAAAAUCUACACGAGCAUUUGUAGCCUUGCUUGUUAUAUGUUAUCCAUGCAAAAACCCAGGAGGGAACAAAACCUACACUCUCAAGUUAGUAACUUUUCAGAGUGCUCUCCUUAUGCGUAAAUAUAUUUUUGCAGGCUCUAUUCAAGCCUUGACUUCCUUCCUGAAGAAAAUCUCCAGGACCAAGAUGAGGUGCCGGGAACUUCUGGCUCCUCAGUUCCGUCAAGUCGCUCAGCAACACCAGCAGCUGCUGCAACUGAAAGCCAACCAACAGAAGAUGACUUAGAGUCUGACACAGAUAGGACUCCAAGGCGGAAAAAAGCACGGCGGUCACCAAGGAAACAACAGAGCCCAUUGAAAGCCCCUCAGCAUGCUGCUGUAACUGCUGCCUGUAUGGAGCACCUCCAGGCGGUGCGGACUGAGAGGCAGCAGAAGCAACAACUGCAGCGGGAGCCACAAGAUGUCGUAUACCAUACGUGCAUGGCACUUGCCGCACAGCUGCGAAUGCUUGAUCCGAGAGACCAGUCAGAGGCGAUAUUCGAAAUUCAAACAAUGAUGUAUCACCGACUCCAAGGAGCCAUGAAUGAACAAAAUUCUCACUAAUGUUUUAUAUGCUUACUUCAUCCACACAUAUUUCUUCUACUUUGCUGCACCACUGUAACACUAUACUUUUUACUUCUGUUUACCUGUUAU
Molecule: long non-coding RNA, 863 nt
Filed under: Dermacentor andersoni
Lineage: Eukaryota; Metazoa; Arthropoda; Arachnida; Ixodida; Ixodidae
Description: uncharacterized LOC126540292
Source: RNAcentral